RNAcentral lists this ribosomal RNA (264 nucleotides) under uncultured bacterium. RNAcentral's name for it is "partial 16S ribosomal RNA". It matches the Rfam family "Bacterial small subunit ribosomal RNA", at positions 334 to 590 of the family's 1533-position model. The record is from RNAcentral.
UGUUCCUACGGGACUCAGCAGUCGUUCCUCUUCCCCCCUUUCCUAAAGUCUGAUGGAGCAACGCCGCGUGAGUGAAGAAGGGUUUCGGCUCGUAAAGCUCUGUUGGUAGUGGAGAAAGAUAGAGGUAGUAACUGGCCUUUAUUUGACGGUAAUUACUUAGAAAGUCACGGCUAACUACUUGCCAGCAGCCGCGGUAAUACGUAGGUGGCAAGCGUUGUCCGGAUUUAUUUGGCGUAAAGCGAGUGCAGGCGGUUCCAUAAGUCU